This 320-nucleotide unclassified non-coding RNA is filed under the name Hevea brasiliensis (rubber tree). The record is from RNAcentral. Lineage: Eukaryota; Viridiplantae; Streptophyta; Magnoliopsida; Malpighiales; Euphorbiaceae.
CGCUACCGUACUGGUUCGAGGGUCUAACCAACUAGUGAUUGAUGAGGCUGAGCGGAGCUUGCAUGAUGCCCUGUGUGUUGUUAGGUGUUUGGUAAAUAAAAGGUUCUUGAUUGCAGGCGGUGGUGCACCAGAGAUUGAGCUGUCAAGGCAGCUAGGUGCCUGGGCAAAAGUGUUGCAUGGAAUGGAGGGUUACUGUGUUCGUUCCUUUGCGGAGGCUCUUGAAGUUAUCCCAUAUACAUUGGCUGAAAAUGCUGGGUUGAACCCAAUCACCAUUGUUACAGAACUGAGGAAUCGCCAUGCACAGGGUGAGAUCAAUACUG